Molecule: long non-coding RNA, 883 nt
Filed under: Mytilus galloprovincialis (Mediterranean mussel)
Lineage: Eukaryota; Metazoa; Mollusca; Bivalvia; Mytilida; Mytilidae
Source: RNAcentral
GUAAUAUAUCAGUUCAGUAAAGUUCAAAAUAUAUAUUACAUACACAACAAGUGUGGACACAGAUGAGUGUGGAUAGUAUGUUUGGAUGUUUGACAGUGUUUAAUAUGACAAAAGGAGUUCUGUGUUUUUCCUAUAUGGUGUUAUAAUAUUAAUUGUGUUAACUGAGACACUAAUUGCAUUAAUUACCAAAUGGUUACGAUAGAAUAUGUUCCAGAUCUUUGAUUUUGGAUACAUUUUGGAGCUAGGAGAGCAACACAUAAAAAAAAUAUUUUUUCAUGUAUUUUUUUUUUUUUUGUUGUAUAUUAAUAAGGCCGUUUUCUCGUUUGAAUUGUUUUACAUUGUCAUUUCGGGGCCUUUUAUAGCUGACAAUGCGAUGUGAGCUUCGAUCAUUGUCAAAGCCAUUCGGUGACCUGAAGUAAUGUUUGUGUCAUUUUGGUCUCUUGUGGGGAAUUGUCUCAUUGGCAAUCAUACCACGUAUUUUUUACAUGUACAUGUUUUUGCUUAUUACAUGUACAUGUAUUUGUAUGGUUCUAUUAUAUAACAUUCUGGUGGAUCAUCAGUAUCAUUAGUAAAACAUUUUGCUAAAAUGUCGAAUUGUUUCUCAGAUUAGAAGAAAUUUAUUGUUUUUUAGUAAUGACAAUGCCUGACAUGAUGCUUUGCUCUAGAUGAGCUAGAAAGUAAACUUAUGUGUUGUUUUUUUUUUUUUUUUAUCAAUUCUUUGAAAAUAACUCCUCCAAAGUUGGUCAAAGCAAAAAAAAAAGUUUUGACCAAUAGGAAAAUGAUAUCACCAAAAGAACCUUAGUGAGCAUGCUUCAAAGACUGAUAACUGCUCCAAAGGUUAUCUGAUAGAAUUUUACAUACACAAUAAAAUACACCCGACCCA